GAUGAACGCUGGCGGCGCGCCUAAUACAUGCAAGUCGAGCGAACAGACGAGGAGCUUGCUCCUCUGACGUUAGCGGCGGACGGGUGAGUAACACGUGGAUAACCUACCUAUAAGACUGGGAUAACUUCGGGAAACCGGAGCUAAUACCGGAUAAUAUAUUGAACCGCAUGGUUCAAUAGUGAAAGACGGUUUUGCUGUCACUUAUAGAUGGAUCCGCGCCGCAUUAGCUAGUUGGUAAGGUAACGGCUUACCAAGGCAACGUUGCGUAGCCGACCUGAGAGGGUGAUCGGCCACACUGGAACUGAGACACGGUCCAGACUCCUACGGGAGGCAGCAGUAGGGAAUCUUCCGCAAUGGGCGAAAGCCUGACGGAGCAACGCCGCGUGAGUGAUGAAGGUCUUCGGAUCGUAAAACUCUGUUAUUAGGGAAGAACAAAUGUGUAAGUAACUAUGCACGUCUUGACGGUACCUAAUCAGAAAGCCACGGCUAACUACGUG
Molecule: ribosomal RNA, 497 nt
Filed under: uncultured bacterium
Lineage: Bacteria
Description: partial 16S ribosomal RNA
Rfam family: Bacterial small subunit ribosomal RNA
Source: RNAcentral